CCUAACACAUGCAAGUCGAACGGUAACAGGAAACAGCUUGCUGUUUCGCUGACGAGUGGCGGACGGGUGAGUAAUGUCUGGGAAACUGCCUGAUGGAGGGGGAUAACUACUGGAAACGGUAGCUAAUACCGCAUAACGUCGCAAGACCAAAGAGGGGGACCUUCGGGCCUCUUGCCAUCGGAUGUGCCCAGAUGGGAUUAGCUAGUAGGUGGGGUAACGGCUCACCUAGGCGACGAUCCCUAGCUGGUCUGAGAGGAUGACCAGCCACACUGGAACUGAGACACGGUCCAGACUCCUACGGGAGGCAGCAGUGGGGAAUAUUGCACAAUGGGCGCAAGCCUGAUGCAGCCAUGCCGCGUGUAUGAAGAAGGCCUUCGGGUUGUAAAGUACUUUCAGCGGGGAGGAAGGGAGUAAAGUUAAUACCUUUGCUCAUUGACGUUACCCGCAGAAGAAGCACCGGCUAACUCCGUGCCAGCAGCCACGGUAAUACGGAGGGUGCAAGCGUUAAUCGGAAUUACUGGGCGUAAAGCGCACGCAGGCGGUUUGUUAAGUCAGAUGUGAAAUCCCCGGGCUCAACCUGGGAACUGCAUCUGAUACUGGCAAGCUUGAGUCUCGUAGAGGGGGGUAGAAUUCCAGGUGUAGCGGUGAAAUGCGUAGAGAUCUGGAGGAAUACCGGUGGCGAAGGCGGCCCCCUGGACGAAGACUGACGCUCAGGUGCGAAA
This 722-nucleotide ribosomal RNA is filed under the name uncultured bacterium. Its description in RNAcentral is "bacterial SSU rRNA". It matches the Rfam family "Bacterial small subunit ribosomal RNA", at positions 47 to 758 of the family's 1533-position model. The record is from RNAcentral.